This 913-nucleotide ribosomal RNA is filed under the name gut metagenome. RNAcentral's name for it is "bacterial SSU rRNA". It matches the Rfam family "Bacterial small subunit ribosomal RNA", at positions 8 to 917 of the family's 1533-position model. The record is from RNAcentral.
AGAGUUUGAUCCUGGCUCAGGAUGAACGCUGGCGGCGUGCCUAACACAUGCAAGUCGAACGAAGCUUGACGGAUGAUUUCUUCGGAAUGAAACCAGAUAUGACUUAGUGGCGGACGGGUGAGUAACACGUGAGCAACCUGCCUUUCAGAGGGGGAUAACGGCUGGAAACGGUCGCUAAUACCGCAUGAUGUGUUCGGAUGGCAUCAUCUGAACAUCAAAGAUUUAUCGCUGAAAGAUGGGCUCGCGUCUGAUUAGAUAGUUGGUGGGGUAACGGCCUACCAAGUCUGCGAUCAGUAGCCGGACUGAGAGGUUGAACGGCCACAUUGGGACUGAGAUACGGCCCAGACUCCUACGGGAGGCAGCAGUGGGGAAUAUUGCACAAUGGGGGAAACCCUGAUGCAGCAACGCCGCGUGAAGGAUGACGGUUUUCGGAUUGUAAACUUCUUUUCUUAGUGACGAAGACAGUGACGGUAGCUAAGGAAUAAGCAUCGGCUAACUACGUGCCAGCAGCCGCGGUAAUACGUAGGAUGCAAGCGUUAUCCGGAUUUACUGGGUGUAAAGGGAGCGCAGGCGGGACUGCAAGUUGGAUGUGAAAUACCGUGGCUUAACCACGGAACUGCAUCCAAAACUGUAGUUCUUGAGUGAAGUAGAGGCAAGCGGAAUUCCGAGUGUAGCGGUGAAAUGCGUAGAUAUUCGGAGGAACACCAGUGGCGAAGGCGGCUUGCUGGGCUUUAACUGACGCUGAGGCUCGAAAGUGUGGGGAGCAAACAGGAUUAGAUACCCUGGUAGUCCACACUGUAAACGAUGAUAGCUAGGUGUGGGGGGUCUGACCCCUUCCGUGCCGGAGUUAACGCAAUAAGCUAUCCACCUGGGGAGUACGACCGCAAGGUUGAAACUCAAAGGAAUUGACGGG